CCUACGGGUGGCAGCAGUGAGGAAUAUUGGUCAAUGGACGAGAGUCUGAACCAGCCAAGUAGCGUGAAGGAUGACUGCCCUAUGGGUUGUAAACUUCUUUUAUAUGGGAAUAAAACGUUCCACGUGUGGGAUUUUGUAUGUACCAUAUGAAUAAGGAUCGGCUAACUCCGUGCCAGCAGCCGCGGUAAUACGGAGGAUCCGAGCGUUAUCCGGAUUUAUUGGGGUUAAAGGGAGCGUAGGUGGAUUGUUAAGUCAGUUGUGAAAGUUUGCGGCUCAACCGUAAAAUUGCAGUUGAAACUGGCAGUCUUGAGUACAGUAGAGGUGGGCGGAAUUCGUGGUGUAGCGGUGAAAUGCUUAGAUAUCACGAAGAACACCGAUAGCGAAGGCAGUUCACUGGACUGCAACUGACACUGAGGCUCGAAAGUGUGGGUAUCAAACAGGAUUAGAUACCCGGGUAGUC
RNAcentral lists this ribosomal RNA (460 nucleotides) under uncultured bacterium. Its description in RNAcentral is "partial 16S ribosomal RNA". It matches the Rfam family "Bacterial small subunit ribosomal RNA", at positions 338 to 795 of the family's 1533-position model. The record is from RNAcentral.